Long non-coding RNA from Trachymyrmex septentrionalis, 1620 nucleotides. RefSeq lists it as uncharacterized. Lineage: Eukaryota; Metazoa; Arthropoda; Insecta; Hymenoptera; Formicidae. The transcript has 2 exons. The record is from RefSeq and is a predicted model, not a curated record.
AAUAUAUAUAUAUAUAUGAGAAAUCAUAUUUUUGGCCAGUGUGCGAUAUCUAAUGUUUCUUUUGCAACGUGUUUGAGAACGUCUAUAACGAGAUUGUACGGAACUUCUCAUUUACGAACGUUCCACAGAUUAUGACCUAAGUUAAUUAUAAAUAAUUAUUCAUAUAUACAGGAGAGAAAUACGUGAAAAGAUAUCUGACUAGUAUAUCAUGCAUGAUGUAACAUAUAUUCUUACAUCAUAGUGUCAUAUAUAAGUAAGAAAAAAUUCGAUCUAUUGAGAGAAUAUCUUUUUCUUCUUUUAUGUAUUCUUUUUAUGUUAUAGACAUCUAGAAAUUACAUAAAAAAAUAAUUUCUAUUACUUAUAUAUUAAUAGGGAUAGAGUUCGUUAAAUUCUUGAGAUUGUUAAGUUGUACACGACACAUUUAAUGGAAUACCCGAGAAAUAAAACAGAUAAUUAAACGAAGAUGCAAUCAGAUUUAACUGCUACUGAUAGAGCGAUUUUUCGAAAAAAGAUAUCACCGAUCUCAAUAUUAUAAAUAGAGCGUUUGGUGUCGUGCUUGCUGUGAUCCUUGCUCUCGUUGUCGUCUGCUUAUUUUUAGAUUAUUACGGCCGCGCAUACAUGGACCAUGCAGCGCGUAGUGCCAAGAAAUGCGACAAAUCGGCAAAUCUAGGAUGAAUAAUAUUACGUAAAAAUCAAUUGGCCAAAAAUAUUUGAAAUUGUUAGCCCCAAAAUCUAAGUUUUAAUUAAUAUUAUUAGUAUAUAUCUUUGUAAAUAGUCUUUCGAAUGUACCGAUAUCGCCGGCGUCUUGAUCUCGAAUGGAUCUUCGUUUAAGUAGCAACAAUAAUGAAAAAAAAAAAUAAUUAGGGAAAGAUGACAUCUGCAUCAUGUAACAUUAGCGUGAUGAUCAUUUUGAUCAUAUAAGUACGCUCUGUAAAUAGUUCCUUUCUAUCUGUCUCUUUCAGAUAUAUAUAUAAUUAGAGCUCUUAGUAUUCUAAUUACGCAGUCUUUGCAUCAAAUUUUAAUUCAACUUGAUUUUAAUUCGCAUUUGUGUAUAUAAUUAUACAAUAUUAAAAGAGAGGCCGACGUGAGAUGUCAUCGAAUUGUAAUCGUCUAGAAAAAAUCUAUUAUAAUAUAAUAUAUUUACGUUAUUAGUAGCAAAAUUAUUUGAUGCAAUGGAAUGCACGUUCUGAAUUGCCAAUUUGUGAUUAUGACGAAUUUAUCUUGCGUUCCCGCGCGGAAUUUCGGCUUCAUCAAAGCGAGAAUGCCUGAGGAAUUCUCAAUUAGACCAAUUUGACGAUACUUCAUGCGUUAUUAUUCCUUCUUACGAUCGUUUGUAUGGAAGCUAAAACGCGAUGCCAUAGGGAUGUGGUUGCAUGUAGUAAAGUUUUACACAGGUAUCGAUUAGAUAUAAUCAUGUAAGUGAAGAGAUCGAAUUGUUAAACUUUGUAUGACGGUAGUUUUUUUUGAAUCGUGCACGCGUUCGGCGUUCGUUGUAACGAGGAUCGCAUUGCAAAUAAACGAUGUAUUGUCUCGUAUUGGAGAUAUGCUACCUCAAAGGAAGCGUUUUCUUAUAUUUCAAUGCGUACGUACACGCGGCGAAAUUCGCAUCACGAGAAAAAA